Molecule: long non-coding RNA, 668 nt
Filed under: Panax ginseng (ginseng)
Lineage: Eukaryota; Viridiplantae; Streptophyta; Magnoliopsida; Apiales; Araliaceae
Description: long non-coding RNA (PGIN_LNC014976)
Source: RNAcentral
UCCUCCUGCUCCUCCAUCUUCCCUAGUUUCCCUUCCUCUUUCUCUCUCCUCAAACAACUCUUCUCCGCCUCUCUCUCUCUCCCUCUCCCUCUCCCUCUCCUCCACCCCCAUACAACAAAUAUCAACAAACCCAUUAACCAAAACACCCAUUUCACUAAAACCCCAUAAACCAUUCGUCCCUAAACUAUCCACCACCAAAAUCAACUCUUCCUAAUCUUCAUUAGACUCUGCAAACUCAGAUUUCAAAGAAGAAAACCCAAGAACAACAUUAUCAACAACAAAAGGAAUCGACAAAUCCAAGUUCUAAAACUCCAACAACUCAGAUCCGUAGCCGAAAAUAGCCGAAAUAUCUAAUUCAAUAUUUUCUUCACCACAAAUGCAAAUAAAAUGUAUUUAUUUAUAUUAAAAACUACCACAACUCUUCUCCUCCAUCUUUAGUCAAAUUCCAGAUCCCAGGGAUAUGGGCUGGGUUUUCUUUUUCUGCAACUUUGUGGAGGCGGCGAUGGAGAGGGAAGGAAAAUCAGCAAACGCCGUCGCCGUGGAGUGGUUGUUUGCGUCGGCAAUUUUUCGGAACUGUGUUACUGAACUUGGAGAUGAUGAACUCUGUGUUACUGAAUAUGGGUUUGUUGAUGACAUUUAGGAUUUUUAAGAAAAAGAGAGAGAGAGAU